Molecule: long non-coding RNA, 826 nt
Organism: Leucoraja erinaceus (little skate)
Lineage: Eukaryota; Metazoa; Chordata; Chondrichthyes; Rajiformes; Rajidae
Exons: 2
Source: RefSeq, a predicted model, not a curated record
CUCCGGAUUGCUCUCACGUGAUUGCUGCAAAAUGCAACAUGGAGACAUCGUGAACAAAUGUGUUUGUGUCAUUUUGUGCUGCAGGUUUGGUGGGGCGGCGGCUUGUUAGCACAGUCAAUGCGUAAAAAUGAAUGGGUUAAUGUCUGGUUCCUGUUAAGUGCCGUUCACGGAGAGCUUCCCAGAGCCCCAGGGGAUUCCUGGCUGUGCAACAUUCAGUCAUCAAUAUACAUUGUGAUGUGACUCUGAAAGCAACGUUAUUGACAAAUCACUCAAGAUCAGGGAAUCAUCUUAUAAUACGUAAAGAUUCUUCAUGAAGAUGACUGUGCAAGCAAUUUCUAUGGGGAAAAUGAAAACGGAAUGAAUUUGUUUAAAAAACAUUCUGUGCUUCCCAAAUAAUUGACAAUCUGCGCAAGUGAUUACAUGGAAAGACAAGAGUGUCCAGAGGCUGGAAUAUUGGGCAAAAACAAAGUGCUGGACAAACUCAGUGGGUCAUUGCAGCACCUGUGGAAGGCAAUGGACAGGUGACAUUUCGGGUCAAGCUGCAGAUGGGUCCUGACCCACAACAUCAUCUGUCCAAUUUCCUCCACAGAUGCUGCCUGACCUGCGGAGGUCCUCCAGCACAUUGUUUUCUUUUGCACAGGGACAAAUGGAUUUGUUUUCCAAUUUAUUGGGCUAAACUGGACCUCGAUAAACUUUUGAACACGUGGCUAAUGCAAAUCUCCUUGAACUUGUGGGAGAAGUUGCAUCUGAUCCACCAGUGCUCAUGAUGUGAAGUGUACGUGAAAAAUAUCAGAAGUUACUUUGAAUAAACCAAUGUGAGCUGCAC